UACGGAGGGUGCAAGCGUUGUUCGGAAUUAUUGGGCGUAAAGAGCGUGUAGGCGGUUGAACAAGUCAGAUGUGAAAGCCCUCGGCUCAACCGGGGAAGUGCAUUUGAAACUGUUCAGCUUGAGUACGGGAGAGGAGAGCGGAAUUCCCGGUGUAGAGGUGAAAUUCGUAGAUAUCGGGAGGAACACCGGUGGCGAAGGCGGUUCUCUGGCCCGAUACUGACGCUGAGACGCGAAAGCGUGGGGAGCAAACAGGAUUAGAUACCCCCGUA
RNAcentral lists this ribosomal RNA (269 nucleotides) under uncultured prokaryote. RNAcentral describes it as "partial 16S ribosomal RNA". It matches the Rfam family "Bacterial small subunit ribosomal RNA", at positions 524 to 792 of the family's 1533-position model. The record is from RNAcentral.